UUACGGGAGGCAGCAGUAAGGAAUUUUCCGCAAUGGGCGAAAGCCUGACGGAGCAAUACCGCGUGAGGGAUGAAGGCCUAUGGGUUGUAAACCUCUUUUUUCAGGGAGGAAUCACUGACGUGUACCUGAAGAAUAAGCAUCGGCUAACUCCGUGCCAGCAGCCGCGGUAAGACGGGGGAUGCAAGUGUUAUCCGGAAUUACUGGGCGUAAAGCGUCUGUAGGUGGUCAAAUAAGUCAACUGUUAAAUCUUGAGGCUCAACCUCAAAAUCGCAGUCGAAACUAUUAGACUAGAGUAUAGUAGGGGUAAAGGGAAUUUCCAGUGGAGCGGUGAAAUGCGUAGAGAUUGGAAAGAACACCGAUGGCGAAAGCACUUUACUGGGCUAUCACUAACACUCAGAGACGAAAGCUAGGGUAGCAAAUGGGAUUAGAUACCCCAGUA
This 439-nucleotide ribosomal RNA is filed under the name uncultured bacterium. RNAcentral's name for it is "bacterial SSU rRNA". It matches the Rfam family "Bacterial small subunit ribosomal RNA", at positions 339 to 792 of the family's 1533-position model. The record is from RNAcentral.